GACGUGGGGGGCGAGCGUUGUCCGGAAUUAUUGGGCGUAAAGCGCGCGUAGGCGGCUCGGAAAGUCGGAUGUGAAAAUCCGGGGCUCAACCCCGGACCUGCAUCCGAUACUCCCGAGCUGGAGGCAGGCAGGGGAGAUCGGGAAUUCCUGGUGUAGCGGUUGAAAUGCGCAGGAUAAUCAGGAGGAACACCGGUGGCGAAAGGGCGG
RNAcentral lists this ribosomal RNA (207 nucleotides) under uncultured bacterium. Its description in RNAcentral is "partial 16S ribosomal RNA". It matches the Rfam family "Bacterial small subunit ribosomal RNA", at positions 524 to 724 of the family's 1533-position model. The record is from RNAcentral.